Molecule: non-coding RNA, 447 nt
Organism: Callorhinus ursinus (northern fur seal)
Lineage: Eukaryota; Metazoa; Chordata; Mammalia; Carnivora; Otariidae
Source: RefSeq, a predicted model, not a curated record
CCCAGGUGGCCUGCCGGACCACACCUGGUAGGACACUGCAGGACACACGGUCCCCCUUUUGUCUUAAGAGACCCCCCUGAGAAGGGCAAACGGGCUGGGGGUCCGGGCAGAGGUCAGGGCCUGAGUAAAGGCCAGGAGGCAGGAAAGGGCAGGGAGCAGAAAGGUGACCCAGCCUUCAGGGGAACCUGUAAGAACUGCUUCCCAGGGAAGGCAGGCUCUGGUGGGCCCCGGUUCUCAGAAUCACCACGGUGGGGGGCGGGGGGGGGCAGGUCUCUGCAACCCCAGAUCGAGGUGUGUCACAGAAUCAAGCACAGAGGAGGAAACAGAAACUCCCCAGAAUCCCCAACGGGGGCAGGAAAGCCCCCAUGGGUGGUGACAAGUGAGACAGCAGUGCCUGGACCACCUGAGGUCACUGAGAAACAGGGGCAGGCGCAGGCAGUGGGAGCA